RNAcentral lists this long non-coding RNA (386 nucleotides) under Carica papaya (papaya). RNAcentral's name for it is "long non-coding RNA (CPAP_LNC004158)". The record is from RNAcentral. Lineage: Eukaryota; Viridiplantae; Streptophyta; Magnoliopsida; Brassicales; Caricaceae.
AAGGGAGAAUUAAAGUAAUAUUUUUUCAAGUUUCCAAGACAAGAUCAUUUAUAAUUGUGUAUUUCAUACGCAAUCAGGAUUGUUUUUGCUUUAGUUUUUGUUAGUUUUGAGUAAUUUUUAUUAGUUUUUCAUUUAAUUUUAGUUUAUUUAGUCACUUUAAUUUAUUUUAUGAAUUUUAGGUGAUCUUGGGAGAAUUUGAAAAGUUUUGGAUGAAGGUACAAAAGGGUAGAAACCUGCACUGGCAGAUGCAUACUCAUAAAGUUAGUGAUGCACAUCAGUCUUGGAGCCUCUCCACAUAGAAUUUUGAAGGUAGAAAUUCGCAUGAGCAGGUGCAUGGUCAUGCAGGAAAAGCAAAAUUUUUACUUUUCCUAAAUUGCAUAGGAUGC